UUUAAAACUUUUUUUAUUGUUCAACAUUUGUAUUUGUUUAUUCUAGAUGGAUUGGAAAAUGUAAUUAAAACCGUUGUUUUACAAGAUGUUACAAUAGGCCAAUUCAAUCUGAUGUUCGUUUUACCGGAGCUUUAUGAUCCUAACUAUAUACGGCAAGCCGAACACCUACAGAAAAUAUUGGUUG
Long non-coding RNA from Adelges cooleyi (spruce gall adelgid), 184 nucleotides. RefSeq lists it as uncharacterized. Lineage: Eukaryota; Metazoa; Arthropoda; Insecta; Hemiptera; Adelgidae. The transcript is spliced from 4 exons. The record is from RefSeq and is a predicted model, not a curated record.